This 552-nucleotide ribosomal RNA is filed under the name uncultured bacterium. RNAcentral's name for it is "partial 16S ribosomal RNA". It matches the Rfam family "Bacterial small subunit ribosomal RNA", at positions 355 to 898 of the family's 1533-position model. The record is from RNAcentral.
UAGGGAAUCUUCCACAAUGGACGCAAGUCUGAUGGAGCAACGCCGCGUGAGUGAAGAAGGUUUUCGGACCGUAAAGCUCUGUUGUUGGUGAAGAAGGAUAGAGGUAGUAACUGGCCUUUAUUUGACGGUAAUCAACCAGAAAGUCACGGCUAACUACGUGCCAGCAGCCGCGGUAAAUCGUAGGUGGCAAGCGUUGUCCGGAUUUAUUGGGCGUAAAGCGAGCGCAGGCGGAAGAAUAAGUCUGAUGUGAAAGCCCUCGGCUUAACCGAGGAAUUGCAUCGGAAACUGUUUUCUUGAGUGCAGAAGAGGAGAGUAGAACUCCAUGUGUAGCGGUGGAAUGCGUAGAUAUAUGGAAGAAUACCAGUGGCGAAGGCGGCUCUCUGGUCUGCAACUGACGCUGAGGCUCGAAAGCAUGGGUAGCGAACAGGAUUAGAUACCCUGGUAGUCCAUGCCGUAAACGAUGAGUGCUAAGUGUUGGGAGGCUUCCGCCUCUCAGUGCUGCAGCUAACGCAUUAAGCACUCCGCCUGGGGGAGUACGACCGCAAGGUUGAA